This 39-nucleotide transfer RNA is filed under the name Macaca nemestrina (pig-tailed macaque). RNAcentral describes it as "partial tRNA-Trp". Lineage: Eukaryota; Metazoa; Chordata; Mammalia; Primates; Cercopithecidae. The record is from RNAcentral.
CCUUCAAAGCCCUCAGUAAGUAAAAACACUUAAUUUCUG